RNAcentral lists this ribosomal RNA (94 nucleotides) under Diaporthe citri. RNAcentral describes it as "partial 18S ribosomal RNA". The stretch from base 1 to 54 matches the Rfam family "Eukaryotic small subunit ribosomal RNA", at positions 1778 to 1831 of the family's 1831-position model. RNAcentral also lists the same sequence under 1 other name. The record is from RNAcentral. Lineage: Eukaryota; Fungi; Ascomycota; Sordariomycetes; Diaporthales; Diaporthaceae.
GGAAGUAAAAGUCGUAACAAGGUCUCCGUUGGUGAACCAGCGGAGGGAUCAUUGCUGGAACGCGCCCCAGGCGCACCCAGAAACCCUUUGUGAA